This 469-nucleotide ribosomal RNA is filed under the name uncultured marine cyanobacterium. Its description in RNAcentral is "bacterial SSU rRNA". It matches the Rfam family "Bacterial small subunit ribosomal RNA", at positions 914 to 1382 of the family's 1533-position model. Lineage: Bacteria; Bacillati; Cyanobacteriota. The record is from RNAcentral.
CGGGGGCCCGCAACAAGCGGUGGAGCAUGUGGUUUAAUUGGAUGCAAGGCGCAGAACCUUACCAGGGUUUGAACAUCCUGGGAUUUUCUUGGAAACAGGAGAGUGCCUUCGGGAACGCAGUGACAGGUGGUGCAUGGCUGUCGUCAGCUCGUGUCGUGAGAUGUUGGGUUAAGUCCCGCAACGAGCGCAACCCACGUCUUUAGUUGCCAGCAUUUAGUUGGGCACUCUAGAGAGACUGCCGGUGAUAAACCGGAGGAAGGUGUGGAUGACGUCAAGUCAUCAUGCCCCUUACAUCUUGGGCUACACACGUACUACAAUGCUACGGACAAAGGGCAGCAAGUUCGCGAGGACAAGCAAAUCCCAUAAACCGUGGCUCAGUUCAGAUCGUAGGCUGCAACUCGCCUACGUGAAGGCGGAAUCGCUAGUAAUCGCAGGUCAGCAUACUGCGGUGAAUACGUUCCCGGGCCUU